GUGGCACGAUCUCAGCUUACUGCAAGCUCUGCCUCCCGGGUUCACACCAUUCUCCUGCCUCAGCCUCCCGAGUAGCCGGGACUACAGGUGCCCGCCACCAUGUGCCCGGCUAAUUUUUUUUGUAUUUUUAGUAGAGACGAGUUUCACUGUAUUAGCCAGGAUGGUCAUGUUUUUGUUCUUGUUUUUGUUUUAGAGACAGGGUCUCCCUCUGUCACCCAGGCUGGAGUGCAGUGGCACAAUCACGGCUCACUACAGCGUCAGCCUUCCAGGUUGAGGAUCACUCGAUACUCAUGCCUCAGCCUCCCAUGUAGCUGGGGCCACAGGUGCACACCACCACGCCUGACUCAUUUUUUAAAAAAUUUUUUGUAUAGGUGGGGUCUCACCAUGUUGCCCAGGCUAGCCUCGAACUCCUGGGCUCAAGCAAUCCUCUCACCUUGGCCUCCCAAAGUGCUGAGAUUAUAGGUGUGACCCGCCAUGCCCGCCUUUCCUCUGAGUUUUGUUGCAUUCGGGCAGCUCCUGGCUGAGGCAAAACAUUAAAAUGCAUAUGGAAAUGCAGGCUGGGAAAAUGCUUUGAAACCAAUGCAAUUUCUAUGUUAAGGGGACGUUCCCUGAUUCUUUCAGGUAAUUUGCAUUCUAGACUGUAACAUUCUGUACCUCAACUGAUAAAUAAGCCUGUUUGUCAUCCUGCUAGAUGAGAACCUGAUAUAUGAAACCUUUUUUUUUAAUCGUGGUUAAAAAAAACAUAAAAUUUACCAUCAUAAUUAUUUUUAAAUGUACCAUUUGGCAGCAUUAAGUAUAUUUAAACUCUUGUGAAACAAAUUUCUAGAAUGUUUUCAUCUUGCAAAACCGAAACUCUGUACCCAUUAAACAACUCCCCUUUUCUCCCUCUCUUCAACCCUGGUAACCACCAUUCCUUCCUGUUUUUAUGAAUUUGACUACUUUAGAUACCUCAUAUAAGUCAGGUCAUACAGUAUUUGUCUCUUUGUGACUGGCUUCACUUAGCAUAAUGUCCUCAAAGUUUAACUAUGUUGUAGCAUGUAUCAGAAUUUUAUGAAACAUGAAGUCUUAAACACCCCAAAGUACAUUUUCACCCCAAAUGUAUUUGAACAGUGUUACGCUGGGGGUGGGAGGUGGGAGUCCUUCUUGCUUUGCCUGUGCAAUGAAAUGAAUACCCUGCUGUGUUUAUCUCCUUGUCAUGUGAUUCUCCCAGGUUGUUUCUUCAAGUUUCUGAGCCAAACUUAACUCUAAAAAGCAAAUAUUCUGUGUUAAAAGACAGUAAUCAACACGGGAGCUACAUCAGACAUCAUAGGACAAAUUGUCAUCUAGAAGAGUAUAUUUUUAAUGCAGGAGAGUUUUUAAAACCCAGAUUGGUGUGAUUUCAUUCCAGAGAGCUCAGAAAUAUGCUCAGCAAGUCUUGCAGAAGGAAUGUCGUCCCAAGUUUGCCAAGACAUCAAUGGCACUGUUAUUUGAGCACAGGUAUAGCGUGGACUUACUCCCUUUUGUGCGGAAGGCCCCCAAAGACAGUGAAGCUGAGUCCAAGUACGAUCCUCCUUUUGGGUUCCGGAAGUUCUCCAGUAAAGUCCAGAACCUCUUGGAGCUCUUGCCAGAGCACGACCUCCCUGAACACUUGAAAGCCAAGACCUGUCGGCGCUGUGUGGUUAUUGGAAGCGGAGGAAUACUGCACGGAUUAGAACUGGGCCACACCCUGAACCAGUUCGAUGUUGUGAUAAGAACUCAGUGCACUGCUCUUAGUCAGUGUGGCUCCAGGAACAGUGAGGGACGCAGGAAGCUCUUCACAGUCCCUGCCCUCAAGGGACUUACUGUUUGAGAAGUUGAAACAAAAACACAAAAUGGUUGGAUGCUCCAAACUGUCGUACUGACCCUAAGUUGGAGGAGCAUGCUGCCGGUACAGUUAAACAGUGCACCAGUUGAGGGAUAUUCAGAACAUGUUGGAAAUAAAACUACUAUAAGGAUGACUUAUCCAGAGGGCGCACCACUGUCCGACCUUGAAUAUUAUUCCAAUGACUUGUUUGUUGCUGUUUUAUUUAAGAGUGUUGAUUUCAACUGGCUUCAAGCAAUGGUAAAAAAUGAAACCCUGCCGUUCUGGGUACGACUCUUCUUUUGGAAGCAGGUGGCAGAAAAAAUCCCACUGCAGCCAAAACAUUUCAGGAUUUUGAAUCCAGUUAUCAUCAAAGAGACUGCCUUUGACAUCCUUCAGUACUCAGAGCCUCAGUCAAGGUUCUGGGGCCGAGAUAAGAACGUCCCCACAAUCGGUGUCAUUGCCGUUGUCUUAGCCACACACCUGUGCGAUGAAGUCAGUUUGGCAGGUUUUGGAUAUGACCUCAAUCAACCCAGAACACCUUUGCACUACUUCGACAAUCAGUGCAUGGCUGCUAUGAACUUUCAGACCAUGCAUAAUGUGACAACGGAAACCAAGUUCCUCUUAAAGCUGGUCAAAGAGGGAGUGGUGAAAGACCUCAGCGGAGGCAUUCAUUGUGAAUUUUGAACACAGAAAACCUCAGUUGAAAAUGCAACUCUAACUCUGAGGGCUGUUUUUGACAGCCUUCUUGAUGUAUUUCUCCAUCCUGCAAAUACUUUGAAGUGCAGCUGAUGUUUUUAACUUUUAAUUUAAAAACACAAAAAAAAUUUUAGCUCUUCCCACUUUUUUUUCCUAUUUAUUUGAGGUCAGUGUUUGUUUUUGCACACCAUUUUGUAAAUGAAACUUAAGAAUUGGAAAGACUUCUCAAAGAGAAUUGUAUGUAAUGAUGUUGUAUUGAUUUUUAAGAAAGUAAUUUAAUUUGUAAAACUUCUGUUCGUUUACACUGCACAUUGAAUACAGAUAACUAAUUGGAAGGAGAGGGGAGGUCACUCUUUUGAUGGUGGCCCUGAGCCUCAUUCUGGUUCCCUGCUGGGCUGCUUGGUGUGACCCACGGAGGAUCCACUCCCAGGAUGACGUGCUCCAUAGCUAUGCUGCUGAAACGGUCUGCAACGCAGCGGCGUGAGGCCUGGGCUGGUCGGAGAAGGUCACAGCCCUUCUCUGUUGGUCUGCCUUCUGUCGAAAGACUCGAGAACCAACCAGGGAAGCUGUCCUGGAGGUCCCUGGUCGGGGAGGGACAUAGAAUCUGUGUCCUCUGACAACUGUGAAACCACCCUGGGCUGCAGAAACCACAGUCUUCCCAGCAAUUAUUACAAUUCUUGAAUUCCUUGGGGAUUUUUUACUGCUCUUUCAAAGCACUUAAGUGUUAGAUCUAACAUGUUCCAGUGUCUGUCUGAGGUGACUUAAAAAAUCAGAACAAAACUAUUAUCCAGAGUCAUGGGAGAGUACACCCUUUCCAGGAAUAAUGUUUUGGGAAAUACUGAAAUGAAAUCUUCCCAGUAUUAUAAAUUGUGUAUUUAAAAAAAAGAAACUUUUCUGAAUGCCUACCUGGCGGUGUAUACCAGGCAGUGUGCCAGUUUAAAAAGAUGAAAAAGAAUAAAAACUUUUGAGGAG
This 3490-nucleotide small RNA is filed under the name Pongo abelii (Sumatran orangutan). Its description in RNAcentral is "processed transcript". Lineage: Eukaryota; Metazoa; Chordata; Mammalia; Primates; Hominidae. The record is from RNAcentral.